AGCUUUGCACAGUCGUAGUAUCUUAGCCAGUGAGGUUUAUCUGAGGUGCAAUUAUUGCUAAUUGAAAACUUUUCUGAAAAGUUGGUUAAAAAUAUUAUAGGUUGGCUCAUACCUGUGAUCCCAGCACUUGGG
This 132-nucleotide small nuclear RNA is filed under the name Chinchilla lanigera (long-tailed chinchilla). RNAcentral describes it as "U4 spliceosomal RNA (ENSCLAG00000020592.1)". It matches the Rfam family "U4 spliceosomal RNA". From Rfam's summary of the family: U4 small nuclear RNA (U4 snRNA) is a component of the major U2-dependent spliceosome. The structure of U4 snRNA from yeast and human has been reported. The record is from Rfam by way of RNAcentral. Lineage: Eukaryota; Metazoa; Chordata; Mammalia; Rodentia; Chinchillidae.